RNAcentral lists this ribosomal RNA (544 nucleotides) under uncultured bacterium. RNAcentral's name for it is "bacterial SSU rRNA". It matches the Rfam family "Bacterial small subunit ribosomal RNA", at positions 132 to 665 of the family's 1533-position model. The record is from RNAcentral.
CGGCCGCGUCGACAACUAUUGGAAACGAUAGCUAAUACCGCAUAACAAUGGAUGACACAUGUCAUUUAUUUGAAAGGGGCAAUUGCUCCACUACAAGAUGGACCUGCGUUGUAUUAGCUAGUAGGUGAGGUAACGGCUCACCUAGGCGACGAUACAUAGCCGACCUGAGAGGGUGAUCGGCCACACUGGGACUGAGACACGGCCCAGACUCCUACGGGAGGCAGCAGUAGGGAAUCUUCCGCAAUGGACGAAAGUCUGACGGAGCAACGCCGCGUGAGUGAAGAAGGUUUUCGGAUCGUAAAACUCUGUUGUGAGGGAAGAACAAGUACCAAUUAACUACUGGUACCUUGACGGUACCUCACCAGAAAGCCACGGCUAACUACGUGCCAGCAGCCGCGGUAAUACGUAGGUGGCAAGCGUUGUCCGGGAUUAUUGGGCGUAAAGCGCGCGCAGGCGGUCCUUUAAGUCUGAUGUGAAAGCCCACGGCUCAACCGUGGAGGGUCAUUGGAAACUGGGGGACUUGAGUGCAGAAGAGGAAAGUAGG